RNAcentral lists this ribosomal RNA (254 nucleotides) under uncultured bacterium. Its description in RNAcentral is "partial 16S ribosomal RNA". It matches the Rfam family "Bacterial small subunit ribosomal RNA", at positions 524 to 776 of the family's 1533-position model. The record is from RNAcentral.
UACGGGGGGAGCAAGCGUUGUUCGGAUUUACUGGGCGUAAAGGGCGCGUAGGCGGCCACCGCAAGUCGAUUGUGAAAUCUCCGGGCUUAACCCGGAAAGGUCAACCGAUACUGCGGGGCUAGAGUGCAGAAGGGGCAACUGGAAUUCUCGGUGUAGCGGUGAAAUGCGUAGAUAUCGAGAGGAACACCUGCGGCGAAGGCGGGUUGCUGGGCUGACACUGACGCUGAGGCGCGAAAGCUAGGGGAGCGAACGGG